UGUAACUGAUAUAUCGAAAGAUAACUGUGUGUCGAAACAUAACUGUGAACUGAAAGAUAACUGUUGUAGUCGAAGGAUAGCUAGCAUAGUCGAAAGGUGACAUAUGAUCGAAGGAUAACUGUGAACCGAAAGAUAUUAUGGAUUAUGAACAUACUUUGAAUGAUGGAAUGUGUGCUUGACUAAAUGAGUAUGCCAUGCCUAGUGAUGAAUGUUGACACUUGUAUUCGUGUUCACUAGCUGAUGAUUAAAUGUGAAAUGAUACGUGUUGGGCUCGUAUGCAAACUGAUUGUUAUGUGUAACUAUCAUAGGGUUUGGUAAAUCACCGUUGUGAAACGAGUAAUUAAUCCUACCGAGCAAACCAAGGUCCUUAGGUACUUGGAACGCAGGAACUUGCUGGCUGGAGGGUGCGAGUGGUC
Molecule: long non-coding RNA, 416 nt
Filed under: Helianthus annuus (common sunflower)
Lineage: Eukaryota; Viridiplantae; Streptophyta; Magnoliopsida; Asterales; Asteraceae
Source: RNAcentral